AGCAGCCGCGGUAAUACGAAGGGUGCAAGCGUUACUCGGAAUUACUGGGCGUAAAGCGUGCGUAGGUGGUUCGUUAAGUCUGAUGUGAAAGCCCUGGGCUCAACCUGGGAACUGCAUUGGAUACUGGCGAUCUGGAGUGCGGUAGAGGGUGGCGGAAUUCCCGGUGUAGCAGUGAAAUGCGUAGAUAUCGGGAGGAACAUCCGUGGCGAAGGCGGCCACCUGGACCAGCACUGACACUGAGGCACGAAAGCGUGGGGAGCAAACAGG
Molecule: ribosomal RNA, 267 nt
Filed under: uncultured prokaryote
Description: partial 16S ribosomal RNA
Rfam family: Bacterial small subunit ribosomal RNA
Source: RNAcentral